UCCCUCUCAGGAUCACACCUGGAGUGUUUCCAGUACUCUACCAGUCUCAGCUACAGGAGGGAGAUUCAAGUAGAGGCCUACCCAUUUCAUUCCUAGCUUGAGCAGUGGCUAAUGAAUGGAAGGCAAUCUGCUAUAAGU
Small nucleolar RNA from Tachyglossus aculeatus (Australian echidna), 138 nucleotides. NCBI's taxonomy places the organism in Eukaryota, Metazoa, Chordata, Mammalia, Monotremata, Tachyglossidae. The record is from RefSeq and is a predicted model, not a curated record.